UACGGAGGGGACUAGCGUUGUUCGGAAUUACUGGGCGUAAAGCGCACGUAGGCGGAUUUGUAAGUCAGGGGUGAAAUCCCGGGGCUCGACCUCGGAACUGCCUUUGAUACUGCAAAUCUCGAGUCCGGAAGAGGUGAGUGGAAUUCCUAGUGUAGAGGUGAAAUUCGUAGAUAUUAGGAAGAACACCAGUGGCGAAGGCGGCUCACUGGUCCGGUACUGACGCUGAGGUGCGAAAGCGUGGGGAGCAAACAGG
RNAcentral lists this ribosomal RNA (253 nucleotides) under uncultured bacterium. Its description in RNAcentral is "partial 16S ribosomal RNA". It matches the Rfam family "Bacterial small subunit ribosomal RNA", at positions 524 to 776 of the family's 1533-position model. The record is from RNAcentral.